CUUGAAUCCAAUUCAAAAAUUCAUCCAUGAAAUCACCCUCCCUAGCUCUUUUUCUCCGCCACUCUUUCAAAUAAUUAGAGGCCAUAUUCAAUUUGGCUGGAAAGAAAACACAUGGAAAAAAGAAAGUAGAAAAAUAAUAAUAUAAAUAACAGUGUGAACUUGUAGAUCAACCAUUAUAAAAUUGUUUUGUUUUUUUAGAACAAUUGGCAACUUGUGAAACAGGACAUAAUGCAUAAUGAAUAUCUUUUACUCUUGGUAAAAAAUAUGUCGAUACCAGUACUUUUAGAUUUUUACUAUUAGCAUUUCCUAUAGCACUGCUAAUGCACUAACAAAUUACUAUUGGAAUAAUUCAACUAAUGCGUCCCAUUUCUACCACACAUAGUGAAAAUACAAUCUAUGACAAUUACAGUUAAACACAAAUUUAAUUAUAUGAAAAAAUACCACUGGAUAAACAAAAACAACAGUACUGGCAUCAAAAUAGGCUUCAUUUUCUAAUUGAAUUGGAUAGCCUAACUAGCAGCUUUUAAACUUGGCUCCAACAGAGAGAGCAGGCCCUUAUUUACUUUCAUGACAACACACGUUAGCAUGGACUAUUUAAUGCUGGCUAAACUAGCCACAAGCUAGCCCUCGUAGUAGCAACCAGGCUACAUGCGAACUCGAGUUUAACAUUUGCUGUAAAUGCAUUUCACCGUCACGCAUCAUGAUGCACGACGGUGGGAGGACCAAAGCUUGCAAAAAUAAACAUUUUCUAUAAUAUCUCCUUCAGCCCCCACCUCUUUUCUGCAGAAUGUAUAACUCUCAAACUCAGUGACUCCUGGAACUUCUGGUGUACUCCGACGGUCGUGAGGUCGAGUGUGUACAAAGCGCAAUGCUUCAGCCGGAUGUUGUGCGGUCCACAAUUUGAAGCCGUUUUCAUGUUUUGGUCCGAUUAUGGUCCGAUCUCCAAACGGGUGUUAAGAUGGGCUCUUGCAGAGCUACCAAAUACUUUUUGUCGCUCAUCUCGUAGUAUUGCGGCUAUGCCGAUAACUUUUAUCAGGGACUACUUUGCUCUUGGCGGAAUUAGAAUCUACCAGAAGUGGUUGCACGGUGGAUCACGUGAGCGUGCUCCACCAACAAGGUGGCUGGAUUAUUGUCACGGUGGCAGCCGGUGUUACCGAGACGGAUAAAACACAUGAAAUCUAAGAAUUAAAUUGAAUUUCAGCGACCAACUUUGUUGUCGAGUACUCAGCAGGACCCAAGCUUUAAGAUCCGAAGUUGUUUUUUAUUUUAUUUUUCUGCCGUAUAUGCGUUUCGACCGGACAUGGCGAAAAGACUGGUUACGCUCAGGAGUAUGAUAGUCCCAUAGAUUGAGAUCAGUUCUGCAACGUUCAGUUAUCAUUUUCAAUAAUCAACUCUUGAAGUGCAGAUUAAAAUCGAUUGUCUAGAUUCGGUCUAUAUGUAGACGUUGAAAUGACGUAUAAAUUUAUACGUCUAAAUCACGUCUAGAAAUAGACUGAAUCUAGACGUUGAAAUGAAGUAUAAAUGUAUACGUGUAAAUGACGUCUACAUCUAUACUAUGCUGCAUAUCUCUCCACGGUAUCAUAAGUAAUGUAAUCCAGUAUUUAGAGGUCAGUUAUGCACAUUACAGUUGUUUAUUGCAUAAAUAGUUAUCGAAAAAUGAAGUUGAGGGCGAAGUAUAAAUCACGUCUAGAAAUAGACUGAAUCUAGACGUUGAAAUGAAGUAUAAAUUUAUACGUGUAAAUGACGUCUACAUCUAUACUAUGCUGCAUAUCUCUCCACGUAUCAUAAGUAAUGUAAUCCAGUAUUUAGAGGUCAGUUAUGCACAUUACAGGUGUUGAUUGCAUAAAAAGUUAUCGAAAAAUGAAGUUGAGGGCGAAGUAUAAAUCACGUCUAGAAAUAGACUGAAUCUAGACGUUGAAAUGAAGUAUAAAUUUAUACGGCUAAAUCACGUCUAGAAAUAGACUGAAUCUAGACGUUGAAAUGAAGUAUAAAUUUAUACGUCUAAAUCACGUCUAGAAAUAGACUGAAUCUAGACGUUGAAAUGAAGUAUAAAUUUAUACGUGUAAAUGACGUCUACAUCUAUCCUAUGCUGCAUAUCUCUCCACGGUAUCAUAAGUAAUGUAAUCCAGUAUUUAGAGGUCAUUUAUGCACAUUACAGUUGUUUAUUGCAUAAAAAGUUAUCGAAAAAUGAAGUUGAGGGCGAAGUAUAAAUCACGUCUAGAAAUAGACUGAAUCUAGACGUUGAAAUGAAGUAUAAAUUUAUACGUCUAAAUCACGUCUAGAAAUAGACUGAAUCUAGACGUUGAAAUGAAGUAUAAAUUUAUACGUCUAAAUCACGUCUACAUCUAUACUAUGCUGCAUAUCUCUCCACGAUAUCAUAAGUAAUGUAAUUCAGUAUUUAGAGGUCAGUUAUGCACAUUACAGUUGUGUAUUGCAAAAAUAGUUAUCGAAAAAUGAAGUUGAGGGCGAAGUAUAAAUCACGUCUAGAAAUAGACUGAAUCUAGACGUUGAAAUGAAGUAAAAAUUUAUACGUCUAAAUCACGUCUAGAAAUAGACUGAAUCUAGACGUUGAAAUGACGUAUACAUUUAUACGUCUAAAUCACGUCUAGAAAUAGACUGAAUCUAGACGUUGAAAUGAAGUAUAAAUUUAUACGUCUAAAUCACGUC
This 2667-nucleotide long non-coding RNA is filed under the name Xyrichtys novacula (pearly razorfish). Lineage: Eukaryota; Metazoa; Chordata; Actinopteri; Labriformes; Labridae. The record is from RNAcentral.